GCCAGCAUGGCACAAUGGUUUGAGUGUUGGACUACAACUCUGGAGGCCAGUGUUCGGUUCCCAGUUUAGCCA
Molecule: non-coding RNA, 72 nt
Organism: Phrynosoma platyrhinos (Desert horned lizard)
Lineage: Eukaryota; Metazoa; Chordata; Lepidosauria; Squamata; Phrynosomatidae
Source: the annotation of a GenBank genome assembly